GGGGGCGACUGGAUUCGACAUAAUAGUUUUGCGAAGGGAAGCAAGCGGUGGUCUCCUCGCCACCUUAAACAGGGGUACAGUCAAAUUAAUUGACAAACAACGCUUCGCACUCGCUGCCUGAUAGUGUAGCGACGUCGACCAUGUGUGGUUCCCCGCCACAUGCGAGACGCCAUUUAGGGGAAUGCUCCUGUGCACGUAGCUGGUAUGGCACAGGAUAAGAUUGAACCAACUAGGGAUAGGAUCGUGCGUAUGCAGGCGGCCUUGACCAAAACCUCUCUGUAGACUGAGCUUGGAGAUGCCUUUCAAGAAGCUAGUAUGGACCGGAGUUCGAUUCUCCGCGCCUCCACCA
Molecule: transfer-messenger RNA, 349 nt
Filed under: Coriobacteriales
Lineage: Bacteria; Bacillati; Actinomycetota; Coriobacteriia
Also listed under: 1 other name
Description: UBA1419 sp012515495 Standard tmRNA
Rfam family: transfer-messenger RNA
About the family: Bacterial tmRNA, also known as 10Sa RNA or SsrA, is named for its dual tRNA and mRNA-like properties. Its role is to liberate the mRNA from a stalled ribosome.
Source: RNAcentral